GGAUGCCAAACAUCCAGAUCACAAGAACAAACACAUACUAGAAAAUUCAUGGAAAAGUAUUUCCGAGCAGUUUGAAAACAAUACAAGGAUGGAUAUAAGAAACAAAUGGAGAAAUAUUCGUGAUACCUAUUUCAAAAAGAAAAAAAGUGUUAAAGACGCAAUGAAAAGUGGUGCUGGUUCGGAUGCGGUUUUGAAGCUGCAGAACUGGAGAUGGUUUAGCGCCUAUUGAGUUGGCUUGAUGAUAGCCUGCGACAUGAAGCGUAAGCGGUUUAAUAACAUUCUUUCAAUCUUUAUAUGUUUAUUCUAUUACAUUUCAGAACUGAAAGCAACUUUAUAGUUGCAACUUUUGAUCCAAAAGACAUUGGUUGCGAAGAUGGAGUACAAAGGCUGGAUUCUGACAGCUAUGAACUGAACUUAAACUUCUGUAAGUGAGUCGAUAAACCUGAAUGAUAGUUGUCAGUCUACCAGUAACAAGACAGUUGGAUUAUGUACUACGGAAUCGGAAGUGGAACCAAUACUUAGUCCAAAACGACGGUAUUGGAGAAAGAGAUUUUCACCCAAAAAGAAAAUAAGAACUGAUACUUCAUUGCAGGAAGUUAUGAUGCAAUCCGAUAACAGCUUACUGAUGAAGAAUGUUAUUCAACCUCCAAGUUUAUGUGAAAAUUUUGGCACGGUUAUUGGCCAAAGAUUG
This is a non-coding RNA of Ciona intestinalis (vase tunicate), 691 nucleotides long. NCBI's taxonomy places the organism in Eukaryota, Metazoa, Chordata, Ascidiacea, Phlebobranchia, Cionidae. The record is from RefSeq and is a predicted model, not a curated record.